Falco peregrinus (peregrine falcon) is the source of this 181-nucleotide long non-coding RNA. RefSeq lists it as uncharacterized. The transcript is spliced from 3 exons. The record is from RefSeq and is a predicted model, not a curated record. Lineage: Eukaryota; Metazoa; Chordata; Aves; Falconiformes; Falconidae.
GUCCCUCCCAUCUUAGCAUCAUCUGUGCAAUUGCUCCAGCUGCUCCUAUACAUGUUGACAGCUGCAUCACCUUGGGACGCUUGCAGAUCCCAGCCCACCCUUCCCCUUCAGCAGGGAGCUCGGCACUUCUCUCCGCUCCUCCCAGAAACCCGUUGCCGACAUGUCUGAUACCGAGGAAGUG